RNAcentral lists this ribosomal RNA (516 nucleotides) under uncultured bacterium. RNAcentral's name for it is "bacterial SSU rRNA". It matches the Rfam family "Bacterial small subunit ribosomal RNA", at positions 17 to 518 of the family's 1533-position model. The record is from RNAcentral.
UCCUGGCUUAGGACGAACGCUGGCGGCGUGCCUAACACAUGCAAGUCGAGCGGGGACAUACGACGGAUCGGAAGUUUUCGGAUGGAAGAGAAGAUGUAUGUUCUAGCGGCGGACGGGUGAGUAACGCGUGAGCAACCUGUCCUUCACAGGGGGAUAACACAGCGAAAGUUGUACUAAUACCGCAUGAGACCACAUUGGGACAUCCCAGAGGGGUCAAAGGAGCAAUCCGGUGAAGGGUGGGCUCGCGUCCGAUUAGAUAGUUGGUGAGGUAACGGCCCACCAAGUCGACGAUCGGUAGCCGACCUGAGAGGGUGAUCGGCCACAUUGGGACUGAGACACGGCCCAAACUCCUACGGGAGGCAGCAGUGGGGAAUAUUGGGCAAAUGGGGGAAACCCUGACCCAGCAACGCCGCGUGAGGGAAGAAGGUUUUCGGAUCGUAAACCUCUGUCCUGUGGGACGAAGGAAGUGACGGUACCACAGGAGGAAGCCCCGGCUAACUACGUGCCAGCCGCCGC